This 280-nucleotide ribosomal RNA is filed under the name uncultured Bacteroidota bacterium. RNAcentral's name for it is "uncultured Bacteroidetes bacterium partial 16S ribosomal RNA". It matches the Rfam family "Bacterial small subunit ribosomal RNA", at positions 65 to 339 of the family's 1533-position model. The record is from RNAcentral. Lineage: Bacteria; Pseudomonadati; Bacteroidota.
CAGCAUAAUGGAUAGCAAUAUCUAUGGUGGCGACCGGCGCACGGGUGCGUAACGCGUAUGCAACCUACCUUUAACAGGGGGAUAACCCGGAGAAAUCCGGACUAAUACCCCAUAAUAUGGGCGUUCCGCAUGGAGAGCUCAUUAAAGAGAGCAAUUUUGGUUACAGACGAGCAUGCGUUCCAUUAGGUUGUUGGCGGGGUAACGGCCCACCAAAGCGACGAUGGAUAGGGGUUCUGAGAGGAAGGUCCCCACAUUGGAACUGAGACACGGUCCAAACUCC